GUGGUAUUAGCUAGUUGGUGAGGUAACGGCUCACCAAGGCUUAGAUGCCUAGCGGGUGUGAGAGCACGACCCGCGCCACUGGCACUGAGACACUGGCCAGACACCUACGGGUGGCUGCAGUCGAGGAUCUUUGGCAAUGGGCGAAAGCCUGACCAAGCGACGCCGCGUGGAGGACGAAGGCCUUCGGGUUGUAAACUCCUGUCGAGGGGGAUCAAGGGGCAACCUUGAGUGAUCCCUGGAGGAAGCUCGGGCUAAGUUCGUGCCAGCAGCCGCGGUAAGACGAACCGAGCGAACGUUGUUCGGAAUCACUGGGCUUAAAGGGCGCGUAGGCGGCUUAUCAAGUCAGGGGUGAAAUUUUGCGGCUUAACCGUAACAGUGCCUUUGAUACUGAUAGGCUCGAGGGAGAUAGGGGUCUGCGGAACUUCUGGUGGAGCGGUGAAAUGCGUUGAUAUCAGAAGGAACGCCGGUGGCGAAAGCGGCGGACUGG
Molecule: ribosomal RNA, 487 nt
Filed under: uncultured Planctomycetota bacterium
Lineage: Bacteria; Pseudomonadati; Planctomycetota
Description: bacterial SSU rRNA
Rfam family: Bacterial small subunit ribosomal RNA
Source: RNAcentral